This 429-nucleotide ribosomal RNA is filed under the name Acidobacteriota bacterium. RNAcentral's name for it is "Acidobacteria bacterium partial 16S ribosomal RNA". It matches the Rfam family "Bacterial small subunit ribosomal RNA", at positions 355 to 776 of the family's 1533-position model. The record is from RNAcentral. Lineage: Bacteria; Pseudomonadati; Acidobacteriota.
UGGGGAAUUUUGGACAAUGGGGGAAACCCUGAUCCAGCCAUCCCGCGUGUGCGAUGAAGGCCUUCGGGUUGUAAAGCACUUUUGGCAGGAAAGAAACGUCAUGGGUUAAUACCCCGUGAAACUGACGGUACCUGCAGAAUAAGCACCGGCUAACUACGUGCCAGCAGCCGCGGUAAUACGUAGGGUGCAAGCGUUAAUCGGAAUUACUGGGCGUAAAGCGUGCUCAGGCGGUUCGGAAAGAAAGAUGUGAAAUCCCAGAGCUCAACUUUGGAACUGCAUUUUUAACUACCGGGCUAGAGUGUGUCAGAGGGAGGUGGAAUUCCGCGUGUAGCAGUGAAAUGCGUAGAUAUGCGGAGGAACACCGAUGGCGAAGGCAGCCUCCUGGGAUAACACUGACGCUCAUGCACGAAAGCGUGGGGAGCAAACAGG